Molecule: transfer RNA, 42 nt
Filed under: Aglyptodactylus madagascariensis (Madagascar jumping frog)
Lineage: Eukaryota; Metazoa; Chordata; Amphibia; Anura; Mantellidae
Description: partial tRNA-Asn
Source: RNAcentral
CUGUUAACUAAAAUGUCGCGGGAUCAAGGCCCGUCUUUCUAG